RNAcentral lists this long non-coding RNA (652 nucleotides) under Homo sapiens (human). RNAcentral describes it as "non-protein coding lnc-YIF1A-6:3". The record is from RNAcentral. Lineage: Eukaryota; Metazoa; Chordata; Mammalia; Primates; Hominidae.
CUCUGACAGAGGUGGUUCAGCGCCCUUAGCUCAAGCACAUCCGGUGACAGCUCUAAGCCAGAACCUAAGGGGGCCAGAAGCUGGGAUCCAAGUCUACUUGUCCCACCCCCUCCACUGGAACUCCCUGGCCCCCAGCUCUGCACAGCUCCUGCCCUGCAGCCCUCGCCUGGCUGUGCUCCGGGAAGUCCUCGUGGGCACUUCACCCUGCUCUGCAGCCACACUCACACCCUAGAUCCAGGUCACACUAGGUAUGAUUUGCUUCUCCUGGCCUUUCCUCUCACCAGCCCCGCUAUCACCUCAUUUAGAAGGCAGGUAUGAUUUUCAUUUUCUAGGCUCAGAGAGUUUGCGCAGGGCCACACAGCUGGGUCCCCAAGCCUCUCUAUGUGAGGUCGUCUGGGCACAGGGCUUGGGGAACCCAAGACUGAGGCCAGUGACAGCAAGCUCUGGAUGGCCAUCCACUCCUCUGGGGCUAUACCUGUAGGGCAAGGAUGCCAAGCGCUGCCUCUCCUGCAAGCCUUCACCUCUGGACACUUCUCUUUUUUGAGACAGAGUCUCAUUCUGUCGUCCAGGCUGGAGUGCGGUGGCACGAUCUCAGCUCACUGCAACCUCCGCCUCCCGGGUUCAAGUGAUUCUCGUGCCUCAGCCUCCUGAG